UUCACCUAAAAUCAUUUGCGUGAUUUCGUCUCGAACGCUUUUUCAUUGUCACCAACACGAAAUCCACUAGAAUCUCAACGCUUCGAUUGCUCCAAUGGUGGCUUAUAGAUAGUAAUUGCACUUUCCUAUUUGGGUAUAUCAAUUCUCGUUUGUUGUUGUUAUUGGGUUCCUUUUUGGGUGUUUCUUCUCCAAUUUAUGUAAGAUGCUCUUAAUUUAUUUCAAUUUAUGUAAGAUGCUCUUAAUUUAUUUCACUUUCCUUUUUUUUUUGGUGAUGCUCUUAAGUAAUUUCAUUUUCCUA
This 298-nucleotide small RNA is filed under the name Arabidopsis thaliana (thale cress). RNAcentral describes it as "putative long intergenic non-coding RNA". Lineage: Eukaryota; Viridiplantae; Streptophyta; Magnoliopsida; Brassicales; Brassicaceae. The record is from RNAcentral.